RNAcentral lists this ribosomal RNA (266 nucleotides) under uncultured bacterium. RNAcentral describes it as "partial 16S ribosomal RNA". It matches the Rfam family "Bacterial small subunit ribosomal RNA", at positions 793 to 1055 of the family's 1533-position model. The record is from RNAcentral.
GUCCACGCCCUAAACGAUGUCAACUAGUUGUCGGGGAUGGAGACCUCUUUGGUAACGCAGCUAACGCGCGAAGUUGACCGCCUGUGGAGUACGGUCGCAAGAUUAAAACUCAAAGGAAUUGACGGGGACCCCGCACAAGCGGUGGAUGAUGUGGAUUAAUUCGAUGCAACGCGAAAACCUUACCUACCCUUGACAUGCCUGGAACUUGGUAGAGAUACCUUGGUGCCCGAAAGGGAGCCAGGACACAGGUGCUGCAUGGCUGUCGU